This 121-nucleotide small nuclear RNA is filed under the name Salvator merianae (Argentine black and white tegu). RNAcentral describes it as "U1 spliceosomal RNA (ENSSMRG00000011724.1)". It matches the Rfam family "U1 spliceosomal RNA". From Rfam's summary of the family: U1 is a small nuclear RNA (snRNA) component of the spliceosome (involved in pre-mRNA splicing). Its 5' end forms complementary base pairs with the 5' splice junction, thus defining the 5' donor site of an intron. Lineage: Eukaryota; Metazoa; Chordata; Lepidosauria; Squamata; Teiidae. The record is from RNAcentral.
AUACAUACCUGGCAGGGGAGAUAUCAUGAUCAUGAAAGUCAUUUUCCUGGAACGAGGCUCAUCAAUUGCACUUCAGAUGUGCAAAUUCCCAAAUAUGGAAAAUGCCAAUAAUGCUGCAUCC